This 502-nucleotide long non-coding RNA is filed under the name Equus caballus (horse). RNAcentral's name for it is "lncRNA (ENSECAG00000051504.1)". The record is from RNAcentral. Lineage: Eukaryota; Metazoa; Chordata; Mammalia; Perissodactyla; Equidae.
GACACACACGCCAUCUCAAAGCACAAAAUGCUUUGCAAACCAUCCACUGGGAGUUCACCAAGGAAACUCCUGGAAGUCGAGAGGAGGAAAAGCAGAGAUUCUGAUCCUGUAGAUCUGGAUUAGAGCCUCAGACUCGGCAUUUCCAACAAGCUCCCAGAGGCUGCGGACGGUCCAAGGACCACACUUUGAGUAGCGGAGCCCCAGGUUCAUAACUUGGAGAAAGGCGAUGUUGAUCCUUUUUGUUUGAAGGAUUCUUGGGCCUGAGGCGACCCCCAGGUGACCUUCUGUUUCAGCCAGAGAAUCCAGCUGGAGAGAAGGUGCAGGAGGCCCAGGAACCAUUUGUGAUUUUUUUGUUCAUGAGUAUUUUAAAGGCGUGUGUUAUUCUUUGUAGGAUGUGCACAGAGGCUAUCCCAACAUUUGCAGGUGAGAGAGUGAAACACUCCAUUCUCAGGACAAGAAAUUCUGUUACCAUUUUCUUUUUUUCAGUCUUGAGAACCCUGGG